Pantherophis guttatus is the source of this 468-nucleotide non-coding RNA. The record is from RefSeq and is a predicted model, not a curated record. NCBI's taxonomy places the organism in Eukaryota, Metazoa, Chordata, Lepidosauria, Squamata, Colubridae.
UUGGUAGUGCCUGCAAGCAAUAAAAGUUAUCAUAGCCAAGAUUUUAAAUUACGUUUAACAAAAAAGAGGAAUCACAGCAAUCAAGUUAUCCUAGCUACAAGGUCUCCCUUUUUCCACAGGGGGUCGUCAUGUCAAGAUUGAACUGCUUUUGAAAUGUUUAGGUCUUAUCACUAUUCAAAGUUGCCAAAGAACUUGUGGAGGGGGGGAGAAAGAAUGCAGAUGCGCCAGAGAUAGACCGGGAGAGCCAAGAACCCACCAAAGCCACUGAUGCAAGUGACUGACAGAAAAGUGAACAGUUCUCAAAACAAAAGAACAAUGCAUAAUUGGAUAAUGUGACUAACCAAGGGUGGGGAGAAAGAAAGCUAUUGUUUAACUAUGCAUGCAUUGCACGGGAAAAACCAAAGUUGACUUUGAUUCUUCCAUACCGGAAUGGUGCCUCUAAUAAAGUUUUGCUUUUGGGAUUUCAAA